Oryctolagus cuniculus (rabbit) is the source of this 2479-nucleotide non-coding RNA. The record is from RefSeq and is a predicted model, not a curated record. Lineage: Eukaryota; Metazoa; Chordata; Mammalia; Lagomorpha; Leporidae.
GUAUAAAGGUAAAGAAAAUAUGAGACAUGAAGGAUAUACCCACAUGGAUUGCUUAUCUCCUCAUUAGAGAUUAAAGUUUUUCAUGGUCAUAAGAUUCAAAGUUGCUAAUGAAACAACAAAAGAGGUCAAAAUGAUGAUUGAAAAGCUUACGAACUCUGUGACAUGAAAACAUCAGGAAAGAUCAUAUUUGAGUGUUAUUCCUCUGGAAAGGGGUGAAAAAAAGCAAAUAUACAAUGAUCAUAAGAAUGUAUUCCAGACAUUGACAAAAUGAUGUCAAGGCACAAGAAAGUCAGAAUACAAAAUUAAGUGAAGUAUAACUGGCCACCUAAUUUGAAAGAAGGGCCUGUGUUAUGGUACCAUGGUUUAAACUGCUGCCUGUGAUGGUGGCAUCCAUAUGAUCUCCAGUUCAAUAGUCUGUCUUUUGUACAAAAGUGCAUCCAAUUCUAAGGGCAGAGGUUAAUAUUUGUCAUGAUGACUCUCAGCUGCACCAUGGGGUUAUGUCCUUAGUGGGAUGAAUCUCAAGUGGGGAGGGACAUGCACACAUCAUAAUAGGUAUUCUGUGAUGCAAUAACCUGGGGGAUGGUGUAGGAGAUAAAUGUGGGCGUGGGCCUGGGCAUAUGUCCAGUUACUCAUUUUGAUUCACUUUGGUCAGAUGUGUAACUAGAAGCAUUUUUGUCCAAAAUGACGAAAAAAUUACCUCCACUUUUUCCACGUCAACCUCAGCCUCACCCUCCGACUCCUUCAGAUUCCCGCUUUCCAACCUGCCUGCCUCACCUGGCUCCUCCCUCUGACAAACCUAAGCCUGUCCUCCAGCACAAGAAAUCUUCAGCUGCCUGCCCUGCCCGUCUCCCUGCUCUGACCAACAGCUCUUCCCACAAGGACAUUCCUUCCUCCAAGACUUCCAAGCGCACCCUGGCCUCUGUUCCCUCCAAGUCACCCACUCACCGCCCUGUUCGUCUGGCUCCCCUUUCCUGCUUCUCCUCUGUCUGGGCCCCGACUCCUCCUCCCAGCCCCUCUUACUAGUCCUCUGGACUCUGUUCUCCACGGACACCUACCCCAGCCCAGACCUGGGGAUUCACAGAUCUUACUUUGAGAUCUUACCUUCUCUAAGAGCCUUGGCAGUUCUGGCACAGUUCAGAAGAGAGGACAGUGGCUUCCCAGCAGCCUAGCCUGACUCUGCACUUUCUCUCUUGCCUGAUGAAUCAGCCUUCAGGAACCCCCAGGCCUACAAGUGGCUACUCAGGGAAAGCAAAUCACAGAGCUGAGAGCAGGACUAAUGACAGAGAAGGUUUGCCACAUGAGGUGGAGUCUUUCCUGUCUAUGAGUCAAGCAACUCCAGUACCAGGGUAGGUCCUGAGAAGCUGGGCACACGGCCAAGAGCCUGAAGACAGAGAGCCAGGAAGGCAAUGGUGUGCCAUGGGGAUGCGAUUGUGGGGUGACAGCAUGGAGUGCUGGUACCAGGAGGGUGCACUGACAUGCCACUACCCAGAAAUGGCAGAAGGAUGCCAGUGCCAAAGUGCAGAAGGCCUGGGUCCCAAUCACCUCAUUAGGAUUUUCAGAGAAAUAUCUCAACGUUGGAGAAACUCUACAGCUACAUUGGCUGAGUUUCUCCACAAGAUUAAGUGGUGCUCCAGAAGGCAUUAGGGAACAAGGAAUACUCAUAACUGCAGUUUUCCCAAAGAGAAAAUGCCUCUUGUUGCCCAGCCAAAGUGGAUACUUCAGGAACCCCUGAGGCCACAUCAAAGCACAUAUAUUUAUUACAUGCAUGGAAAUGUAGCCAUGACGCCUAAAGUGGGCAUUAUAAAAGUUGAAUUUUUUACAAUUCUGUUUUCCAAAUGUUUAUAUUUUGCAGAAUUGUGUUUACUGGAUUGUUUUUUCCUCAUACCUUUACCUUUGCCUGAGUGAUGGGGAGAGUUUGGUUGGUGGAUUCUAGUCCCAUAGUACUUCUAAUCCGCUACAUUUGUGCACUCAACAUUCAUGAAACAUCAGCAUCCGCUAAAUGUGAGCCUCAUAUGGAACGCCAAAUCCACAGCCACCACUCUGGGUCACAUUGGAGUCCACUCACCUGCUACAACCAGGCUCCUUCUGCACCACCUUUCACACCCGUUGCUGCAACAGAAAAUCUGUACUAACAGAACUAGUCAUUCACUCUGCUGGGAGAAGCCCUUCACUAAUUGCCAGUGCUUCCCUCCCUCAUUUUACACACCCAAGAAGUCAAUACUUUCAAGUUUCCUCACUGCAAAAGACUCCAUCACAAGUGUGGAGGCAUCUCCACCCCUAGUCACUUAAUUCUUUCUUCUCAGUGCCUAGAUCUGCUUCUCAAUCAGAUCUUACCAGUGCCUGCAUAGAUUCAAUGGGCUCUCAUACCCUUACAACUUCCUUGUCCCCACCCCUCAUGUGCAGCACUGCUAGAUAUAGAGCUAUGUUAAAAGGCCACACUGAUCAUGUCAGUGUGUCAAACACUUGAGUGGCCCCAAAG